GGACUACACGGGUAUCUAAUCCCGUUUGCUCCCCUGGCUUUCGCGCCUCAGCGUCAGUAGGUGUCCAGCACGCCGCUUUCGCCACCGGCGUUCCUUCCGAUAUCUACGCAUUUCACCGCUCCACCGGAAGUUCCGCAUGCCCCUACACCCCUCAAGACCGCCAGUUUCCGCGGCACUUCUCCGGUUGAGCCGGAGGCUUUCACCACAGACUUGACGGCCCGCCUACGCGCCCUUUAAGCCCAGUGAAUCCGAACAACGUUCGCACGGUUCGUCUUACCGCGGCGGCUGGCAC
RNAcentral lists this ribosomal RNA (292 nucleotides) under uncultured Planctomycetota bacterium. Its description in RNAcentral is "uncultured planctomycete partial 16S ribosomal RNA". Lineage: Bacteria; Pseudomonadati; Planctomycetota. The record is from RNAcentral.